Long non-coding RNA from Acinonyx jubatus (cheetah), 2240 nucleotides. RefSeq lists it as uncharacterized. The record is from RefSeq and is a predicted model, not a curated record. NCBI's taxonomy places the organism in Eukaryota, Metazoa, Chordata, Mammalia, Carnivora, Felidae. The transcript has 2 exons.
GCCACUUGGACUAUUUUUGCCUUCAGUCUCCUUCCCUAUUUGAAUUCUUCUGAUGUACCACUGGUAUUUCUAACCCAAAACUUCCAAUGAAUACCUUCUUUAGUCAGAUAUACUUAGUGGUUUUCCAUCGUCAAACUGUAAAAUACAAAUUCUUUAGACUUUCAAUAAAGACUCUUGCGAUCUGUCCUUAAAAUCUAUUUGAAACAUCAACGUCUACUGUUUCUUUUUACAAAUUCCUCAAGCUGAUCAAGAUCUUAUGAUCUGAGCGUUGAAAAUUUGAUUCUAUGUGCAUAUGGAGAGUUAGAAUAAAUAUAUAUCCUACGUCUAUUUACCAUAGUAAGACAUUCCCUAAUAUAUAUUCAUUGAGAUUUGAUGUUGAGGAAAUUCAAACUGCCUCAACUUAUACUAAUAUAAGUGAUAAAUGGCAAUAAAUUUGGUUGUAUUAUAUUUUCUCUUAAUAAACCUGAACUUAUUUGCUAAUGUACUGUCUGAAAACUUGUUCUAUGCUUUUCUAUGACCUUUGUGAUCAAACUGGAAUCCCCCUUAGGUAAUUAUGGCAACAUUAAAAAUGUAUGAUUAUUUUUAGGUUCUCAAUUUAAUAAGAUGCUUGUCUUAAUUGCUAAAAGUAAUUGUUUUGAAGGUAGCUAAAAACCCUCAUUAACCUCGUUAAUAGGCUAUAAAAUCAUAAUCAUGGUGAUAAAGAAGUAGCCUUAUAUAGAGCAUGCAAAUUCUUACUGUAACUUAUAGCACUGAAUUCCAUGUUUCCCUUGUAAUAAAACACUAAGAUAAAUAGGACAGUUGAGAAAAACAAGUUUAUGUUAUUUGUUUGAAAUUAUAUAAGUAAUGUUAAAGUGAAGAUCUGAUUCUCUUGAAUCAGCUUAAGACCUAGGUGUUUAAGCAAUCUCAGCCCCAGACACACAAUGCUUGAAAACAUUCCAUAGCAGGAACAUAUGGACUGUAGCAUCAGAUAAUUGAGUUGGAAGCCCACACAUGGUAUUUACUAGCUGUAUGUCUUGGGACAAAUUAGUCAAUGUCUCCAAGCCUCAGCUUUUUAAUCUCUAAAUGAGAAAUAUAAUAACUCUGUAACAUUGAUUUUUGGGGGGAGGAUGAAUGGAAAAACAAAAAUUAAGUAUCUACUACCAUGUCUAACUCAUAGUACGUACUCAACAAAUAACCUAUUAUUAGGUAAGGAUGGUAAUAAUAGUCAACAAUAAAAAUAUUUUUGUUCACCCUCUUUUCUUACUUGGAGACAAUUUUUUAAAAAUCAAGUGACAAAGCAAGGAGAAUACUUUAUACCUAAUUUGAGGUUUUUAAGACCACCUCUUUUUAAUGCUUUAAUCCUUCAGAUUUCUGGAGUGGAAAGGAGAGAGUUUGGUCUGAUAUUCCCAUGCACACAGGCAUCAUGAGACUAUGAGUGUCUACAGUCUUGGCUCAGAGGGGUACAUUUGAAAAAAAAAAACUUAUGUAGGCCCCCAGAACUUCUUUUCCUUCUGCAACUUUUCAUUUAUUUCCAGAUGGCCUCCCUCCCAUCAAUAUAACAACUCAUAUUUCAAAUCUUCAUCCAAGAUGGAAGAAGGAGUAAACUUUAUGUCCAACUUCCCCUCAGUGGGUUUAUAACAUCUUCUGUGAGGCAUCAGAGACCAAUGACACACAGGACAUCUGUAGACUUGGGAGAGUUUUAGAUGGACCCAGCAUAUACACAGCAACUGGAUACUAACAGAAACAGCAAGAAUACAUGUGAACGCAUUUCAGAUCCUGUGUUAAUUACAUUUCCUUUUAAUCUAUAGAACAAUCUUAUUAGGUAGGUGUACAAUGAUAUAUAAUCCAAAUGUUACAAAAGAGGAAACUGAAACACAGAGAGACAAAAGAACUUGCUCAGAGUCACAGAGCUGAAGUAGUAGUCAAAUUGAGUAUGUCUGAUUAUAAAGCUCUUUCAUUAAAAGUCUGCUAUUAUUCUGCUAAGUAGGGCACAGCUUUGGUGUUUAGCUUGGGUUCUCCAAUGUGUUUGGCUUUAUUCAAUCUUAAAAAAAUAAUAAAAAUACAUAAAUCUUGGGGUGCCUGGGUGGCUCAGUUAGUUAAAUGUUGGACUCUUGAUUUCAGCUCAGAUCAAGUCCCACAUCAGGCUCUGCACUGAUAGUGUGGAGGGAUCCUGCUUGGGAUUUUCUCUCUCCCUCUCCUUCUGCCCCUCCCCCUCCUUGCCCCUGUGCAUGUUUACUGUCUCCUCUCUCUCUCUCUCUCUC